CCUCUUCCCAUUCCGAACAGAGAAGUUAAGCCCACCCACGCCGAUGGUACUGCGUAUAGUGGGAGAGUAGGUAGCCGCCGUUU
Molecule: ribosomal RNA, 83 nt
Filed under: Parabacteroides sp.
Lineage: Bacteria; Pseudomonadati; Bacteroidota; Bacteroidia; Bacteroidales; Tannerellaceae
Source: RNAcentral